GGCAUCGAGCAGAGGGAAAAGGAGCAAUCCGCUUUGAGAUGGCCUCGCGUCCGAUUAGCUAGUUGGUGAGGUAACGGCCCACCAAGGCGACGAUCGGUAGCCGGACUGAGAGGUUGAACGGCCACAUUGGGACUGAGAUACGGCCCAGACUCCUACGGGAGGCAGCAGUGGGGAAUAUUGCACAAUGGGGGAAACCCUGAUGCAGCGACGCCGCGUGGAGGAAGAAGGUCUUCGGAUUGUAAACUCCUGUUGUUGAGGAAGAUAAUGACGGUACUCAACAAGGAAGUGACGGCUAACUACGUGCCAGCAGCCGCGGUAAAACGUAGGUCACAAGCGUUGUCCGGAAUUACUGGGUGUAAAGGGAGCGCAGGCGGGAAGACAAGUUGGAAGUGAAAUCCAUGGGCUUAACCCAUGAACUGCUUUCAAAACUGUUUUUCUUGAGUAGUGCAGAGGUAGGCGGAAUUCCCGGUGUAGCGGUGGAAUGCGUAGAUACCGGGAGGAACACCAGUGGCGAAGGCGCCCUACUGGGCACCAACUGACGCUGAGGCUCGAAAGUGUGGGUAGCAAACAGGAUUAGAUACCCUGGUAGUCCACACUGUAAACGAUGAUUACUAGGUAUUGGAGGAUUGACCCCUUCAGUGCCGCAGUUAACACAAUAAGUAAUCCACCUGGGGAGUACGACCGCAAGGUUGAAACUCAAAGGAAUUGACGGGGGCCCGCACAAGCAGUGGAGUAUGUGGUUUAAUUCGACGCAACGCGAAGAACCUUACCAAGUCUUGACAUCCUGACGCACAUAGAAAUAUGUGUUUCCUUCGGGACGCAGGGACAGGUGGUGCAUGGUUGUCGUCAGCUCGUGUCGUGAGAUGUUGGGUUAAGUCCCGCAACGAGCGCAACCCUUAUGGUCAGUUACUACGCAAGAGGACUCUGGCCAGACUGCCGUUGACAAAACGGAGGAAGGUGGGGAUGACGUCAAAUCAUCAUGCCCUUUAUGACUUGGGCUACACACGUACUACAAUGGCGUUAAACAAAGAGAAGCAAGACCGCGAGGUGGAGCAAAAGUCAGAAACAACGUCCCAGUUCGGACUGCAGGCUGCAACUCGCCUGCACGAAGUCGGAAUUGCUAGUAAUCGCAGAUCAGCAUGCUGCGGUGAAUACGUUCCCGGGCCUUGUACACACCGCCCGUCACACCAUGAGAGCCGGGGGGACCCGAAGUCGGUAGUCUAACCGCAAGGAGGACGCCGCCGAAGGUAAAACUGGUGAUUGGGGUGAAGUCGUAACAAGGUA
Molecule: ribosomal RNA, 1284 nt
Filed under: metagenome
Description: bacterial SSU rRNA
Rfam family: Bacterial small subunit ribosomal RNA
Source: RNAcentral